AACGUAGCGAAAUGCGAUACUUGGUGUGAAUUGCAGAAUCCCGUGAACCAUCGAGUCUUUGAACGCAAGUUGCGCCCGAAGCCCUCGGGCCGAGGGCACGUCUGCCUGGGUGUCAUGCAUC
RNAcentral lists this ribosomal RNA (121 nucleotides) under Passiflora cincinnata. Its description in RNAcentral is "5.8S ribosomal RNA". It matches the Rfam family "5.8S ribosomal RNA", at positions 42 to 154 of the family's 154-position model. From Rfam's summary of the family: 5.8S ribosomal RNA (5.8S rRNA) is a component of the large subunit of the eukaryotic ribosome. It is transcribed by RNA polymerase I as part of the 45S precursor that also contains 18S and 28S rRNA. Functionally, it is thought that 5.8S rRNA may be involved in ribosome translocation. Lineage: Eukaryota; Viridiplantae; Streptophyta; Magnoliopsida; Malpighiales; Passifloraceae. The record is from RNAcentral.